RNAcentral lists this ribosomal RNA (379 nucleotides) under uncultured soil bacterium. RNAcentral describes it as "bacterial SSU rRNA". It matches the Rfam family "Bacterial small subunit ribosomal RNA", at positions 26 to 387 of the family's 1533-position model. The record is from RNAcentral.
AGAGUGAACGCUGGCGGCAGGCCUAACACAUGCAAGUCGAACGGCAGCACAGUAAGAGCUUGCUCUUAUGGGUGGCGAGUGGCGGACGGGUGAGGAAUACAUCGGAAUCUGCCUAUUUGUGGGGGAUAACGUAGGGAAACUUACGCUAAUACCGCAUACGACCUACGGGUGAAAGCGGAGGACCUUCGGGCUUCGCGCAGAUAGAUGAGCCGAUGUCGGAUUAGCUAGUUGGUGGGGUAAACGGACCCACCGAAGGCGACGAUCCGUAGCUGGUCUGAGAGGAUGAUCAGCCACACUGGAACUGAGACACGGUCCAGACUCCGUACGGGAGGCAGCGAGGUAGGGAAUUAGUUAGGACAAGUGGGCGACAAGUCCUGAC